This 443-nucleotide ribosomal RNA is filed under the name uncultured bacterium. RNAcentral describes it as "partial 16S ribosomal RNA". It matches the Rfam family "Bacterial small subunit ribosomal RNA", at positions 338 to 795 of the family's 1533-position model. The record is from RNAcentral.
CCUACGGGGGGCAGCAGUGGGGAAUAUUGGACAAUGGGGGCAACCCUGACCCAGCGACGCCGCGUGAAUGAAGAAGUAUUUCGGAAUGUAAAGCUCUAUCAGUAGGGAAGAAAAAAAUGACGGUACCUAACUAAUAAGCCCCGGCUAACUACGUGCCAGCAGCCGCGGUAAUACGUAGGGGGCAAGCGUUGUCCGGAUUGACUGGGGGUAAAGGGGGCGUAGGCGGCGAUGCAAGUUGGAAGUGAAAGGCGGGGGCCCAACCUCCGGACUGCUUUGGAAACCGUAAGACUGGAGGGCAGGAGAGGGAAGUGGAAUUCCUAGUGUAGCGGUGAAAUGCGUAGAUAUUAGGAGGAACACCAGUGGCGAAGGCGGCUUACUGGACUGUAACUGACGCUGAGGCACGAAAGCGUGGGGAGCAAACAGGAUUAGAUACCCCGGUAGUC